AAAUUGAAGAGUUUGAUCAUGGCUCAGAUUGAACGCUGGCGGCAGGCCUAACACAUGCAAGUCGAACGGUAACAGGAAGCAGCUUGCUGCUUUGCUGACGAGUGGCGGACGGGUGAGUAAUGUCUGGGAAACUGCCUGAUGGAGGGGGAUAACUACUGGAAACGGUGGCUAAUACCGCAUAACGUCGCAAGACCAAAGAGGGGGACCUUCGGGCCUCUUGCCAUCAGAUGUGCCCAGAUGGGAUUAGCUUGUUGGUGAGGUAACGGCUCACCAAGGCGACGAUCCCUAGCUGGUCUGAGAGGAUGACCAGCCACACUGGAACUGAGACACGGUCCAGACUCCUACGGGAGGCAGCAGUGGGGAAUAUUGCACAAUGGGCGCAAGCCUGAUGCAGCCAUGCCGCGUGUAUGAAGAAGGCCUUCGGGUUGUAAAGUACUUUCAGCGGGGAGGAAGGUGUUGUGGUUAAUAACCGCAGCAAUUGACGUUACCCGCAGAAGAAGCACCGGCUAACUCCGUGCCAGCAGCCGCGGUAAUACGGAGGGUGCAAGCGUUAAUCGGAAUUACUGGGCGUAAAGCGCACGCAGGCGGUCUGUCAAGUCGGAUGUGAAAUCCCCGGGCUCAACCUGGGAACUGCAUUCGAAACUGGCAGGCUUGAGUCUUGUAGAGGGGGGUAGAAUUCCAGGUGUAGCGGUGAAAUGCGUAGAGAUCUGGAGGAAUACCGGUGGCGAAGGCGGCCCCCUGGACAAAGACUGACGCUCAGGUGCGAAAGCGUGGGGAGCAAACAGGAUUAGAUACCCUGGUAGUCCACGCCGUAAACGAUGUCUACUUGGAGGUUGUGCCCUUGAGGCGUGGCUUCCGGAGCUAACGCGUUAAGUAGACCGCCUGGGGAGUACGGCCGCAAGGUUAAAACUCAAAUGAAUUGACGGGGGCCCGCACAAGCGGUGGAGCAUGUGGUUUAAUUCGAUGCAACGCGAAGAACCUUACCUGGUCUUGACAUCCACAGAACAUUCCAGAGAUGGAUUGGUGCCUUCGGGAACUGUGAGACAGGUGCUGCAUGGCUGUCGUCAGCUCGUGUUGUGAAAUGUUGGGUUAAGUCCCGCAACGAGCGCAACCCUUAUCCUUUGUUGCCAGCGGUCCGGCCGGGAACUCAAAGGAGACUGCCAGUGAUAAACUGGAGGAAGGUGGGGAUGACGUCAAGUCAUCAUGGCCCUUACGACCAGGGCUACACACGUGCUACAAUGGCGCAUACAAAGAGAAGCGACCUCGCGAGAGCAAGCGGACCUCAUAAAGUGCGUCGUAGUCCGGAUUGGAGUCUGCAACUCGACUCCAUGAAGUCGGAAUCGCUAGUAAUCGUGGAUCAGAAUGCCACGGUGAAUACGUUCCCGGGCCUUGUACACACCGCCCGUCACACCAUGGGAGUGGGUUGCAAAAGAAGUAGGUAGCUUAACCUUCGGGAGGGCGCUUACCACUUUGUGAUUCAUGACUGGGGUGAAGUCGUAACAAGGUAACCGUAGGGGAACCUGCGGUUGGAUCACCUCCUUACCUUAAAGAA
RNAcentral lists this ribosomal RNA (1552 nucleotides) under Salmonella enterica. RNAcentral's name for it is "bacterial SSU rRNA". It matches the Rfam family "Bacterial small subunit ribosomal RNA". The record is from RNAcentral. RNAcentral also lists the same sequence under 3 other names. Lineage: Bacteria; Pseudomonadati; Pseudomonadota; Gammaproteobacteria; Enterobacterales; Enterobacteriaceae.